AUUGAACGCUGGCGGCAUGCCUUACACAUGCAAGUCGAACGGUAACGGGCCUUCGGGUGCCGACGAGUGGCGAACGGGUGAGUAAUGCAUCGGAACGUACCUUUCAGUGAGGGAUGACGUAGCGAAAGUUACGCUAAUACCGCAUAUUCUGUGAGCAAGAAAGCGGGGGAUCGCAAGACCUUGCGCUGAUUGAGCGGCCGAUGUCAGAUUAGCUAGUUGGUGAGGUAAAGGCUCACCAAGGCGACGAUCUGUAGCGGGUCUGAGAGGAUGAUCCGCCACACUGGGACUGAGACACGGCCCAGACUCCUACGGGAGGCAGCAGUGGGGAAUUUUGGACAAUGGGGGCAACCCUGAUCCGGCCAUGCCGCGUGAGUGAAGAAGGCCUUCGGGUUGUAAAGCUCUUUCGGCCGGGAAGAAAUCGCACAGGCUAAUACCUUGUGUGGAUGACGGUACCGGAAUAAGAAGCACCGGCUAACUACGUGCCAGCAGCCGCAGUAA
This 498-nucleotide ribosomal RNA is filed under the name uncultured bacterium. RNAcentral describes it as "partial 16S ribosomal RNA". It matches the Rfam family "Bacterial small subunit ribosomal RNA", at positions 30 to 523 of the family's 1533-position model. The record is from RNAcentral.